RNAcentral lists this ribosomal RNA (638 nucleotides) under Bacillus baekryungensis. Its description in RNAcentral is "partial 16S ribosomal RNA". It matches the Rfam family "Bacterial small subunit ribosomal RNA", at positions 379 to 1004 of the family's 1533-position model. The record is from RNAcentral. Lineage: Bacteria; Bacillati; Bacillota; Bacilli; Caryophanales; Bacillaceae.
AAKUCUGACGGAGCAACGCCGCKUGAGUGACGAAGGCYUUCGGGUCGUAAAGCUCUGUUGUUAGGGAAGAACAAGUACCGUUCGAAUAGGGCGGUACCUUGACGGUACCUAACCAGAAAGCCACGGCUAACUACGUGCCAGCAGCCGCGGUAAUACGUAGGUGGCAAGCGUUGUCCGGAAUUAUUGGGCGUAAAGCGCGCGCMGGCGGUCUUUUAAGUCUGAUGUGAAAGCCCACGGCUCAACCGUGGAGGGUCAUUGGAAACUGGAGGACUUGAGUGCAGAAGAGGAGAGUGGAAUUCCACGUGUAGCGGUGAAAUGCGUAGAUAUGUGGAGGAACACCAGUGGCGAAGGCGGCUCUCUGGUCUGUAACUGACGCUGAGGCGCGAAAGCGUGGGGAGCAAACAGGAUUAGAUACCCUGGUAGUCCACGCCGUARACGAUGAGUGCUAGGUGUUNGGGGGGUUCCACCCUCAGUGCURAAGUUAACACAUUAAGCACUCCGCCUGGGGAGUACGACCGCAAGGUUGAAACUCAAAGGAAUUGACGGGGGCCCGCACAAKCAGUGGAGCAUGUGGUUUAAUUCGAAGNCAMCSCRAAGAACCNUWACMAGGUCNUUGACWUCCUCNUGACAAUCCUGGA